Molecule: ribosomal RNA, 241 nt
Filed under: uncultured bacterium
Lineage: Bacteria
Description: partial 16S ribosomal RNA
Rfam family: Bacterial small subunit ribosomal RNA
Source: RNAcentral
UGGGGAAUAUUGGACAAUGGGCGCAAGCCUGAUCCAGCCAUGCCGCGUGAGUGAUGAAGGCCCUAGGGUUGUAAAGCUCUUUCGGCGGGGACGAUAAUGACGGUACCCGCAGAAGAAGCCCCGGCUAACUCCGUGCCAGCAGCCGCGGUAAUACGGGGGAGCAAGCGUUGUUCGGAUUUACUGGGCGUAAAGGGCGCGUAGGCGGCGCAACAAGUCGCUUGUGAAACUCCGUCCGGUACUU